Molecule: long non-coding RNA, 794 nt
Organism: Oncorhynchus tshawytscha (Chinook salmon)
Lineage: Eukaryota; Metazoa; Chordata; Actinopteri; Salmoniformes; Salmonidae
Source: Ensembl
GAUGCGUCUUACUUAUCAGGUUUAGGGGAGAGGAGAGAGCAGCGCUUUGGGGACGGCCAGAGAGGAAAGCGAAAUAAGUGUUUUCCUCUCGUCUCUCAACUCUUUCUUCCUCUUUAGGAAUUUGGAAGAAAGAGAGGGGAACAAAGUUGUCUAACUUUGCACAUCCUCAGUAACGCCAUUUUGAUUCCUCUCCGGAACAACUUUGCAGCUUCUUUUUUUUUCUUAGCCCAUCAUCACCAUUCACCAUCAUCAGUAUGUCUCGGCGCAAGCAGCCCAACCCCAACAAAGUCGAACUGUGAUCAGUGGGUGCUGACACUCGAGGCGGGCAGGCAGGCCGUCGUCUCCCCCCCAGCCCUGAGCUCCGAGCCCAGACACCUUUUUGCCCUGGUCUCUCGAGGUGAUGGAGAGCACGCGUCCGGGGGGAGGAGUGAGCGUCGAGCUGAGCGCUGGAGAGACCGAGCACUCGGAGGAGCAGGAGACCCCUGACUCCACACACACACAGGACAAACACACAGGGACUAACGGAGCGAUGGAGGAGGAGGAAGGCAUGGAUGGAGAAAAUGGAGAGAAUAUGACAGAGGAGGAAGGCGUGGACUUGUCAUCCAUCAACACCAUGUUGUCGACGGUGAUGAAUGCAGGCCAGCUCAACGGAGCCCUGGAGCCUUCCACACCCUCCACCCCCAUCAGCAAGACCACCCUGCCCAGACCCCUAGUGUCAACCGCAACGCCCGGAGGAACACCACGACUAGGAUAGCAGACUCUGUGGGAUUUUCCCCAUGGUAAAUGGAGUAGAC